RNAcentral lists this ribosomal RNA (1444 nucleotides) under metagenome. RNAcentral describes it as "bacterial SSU rRNA". It matches the Rfam family "Bacterial small subunit ribosomal RNA". The record is from RNAcentral.
AGAGUUUGAUCCUGGCUCAGGAUGAACGCUGGCGGCGUGCUUAACACAUGCAAGUCGAACGAGCCUUCGGGCUAGUGGCGGACGGGUGAGUAACGCGUGAGAAUCUGCCCUCAGGAGGGGGAUAACGGCUGGAAACGGCCGCUAAUACCCCAUAUGCCGCGAGGUGAAAUGAGAAAUCGCCUGAGGAUGAGCUCGCGUCUGAUUAUCUAGUUGGUGGGGUAAGAGCCUACCAAGGCAUCGAUCAGUAGCUGGUCUGAGAGGAUGAUCAGCCACACUGGGACUGAGACACGGCCCAGACUCCUACGGGAGGCAGCAGUGGGGAAUUUUCCGCAAUGGGCGCAAGCCUGACGGAGCAACGCCGCGUGAGGGAUGAAGGCCUCUGGGCUGUAAACCUCUUUUCUCAAGGAAGAAGAACUGACGGUACUUGAGGAAUAAGCCACGGCUAAUUCCGUGCCAGCAGCCGCGGUAAUACGGGAGUGGCAAGCGUUAUCCGGAAUUAUUGGGCGUAAAGCGUCCGCAGGCGGUCUUGAAAGUCUGUUGUUAAAGCGUGGAGCUCAACUCCAUUUCAGCAAUGGAAACUAGAAGACUAGAGUGUGGUAGGGGCAGAGGGAAUUCCCGGUGUAGCGGUGAAAUGCGUAGAUAUCGGGAAGAACACCAGUGGCGAAGGCGCUCUGCUGGGCCAUAACUGACGCUCAUGGACGAAAGCCAGGGGAGCGAAAGGGAUUAGAUACCCCUGUAGUCCUGGCCGUAAACGAUGAACACUAGGUGUCGGGGGAAUCGACCCCCUCGGUGUCGUAGCCAACGCGUUAAGUGUUCCGCCUGGGGAGUACGCACGCAAGUGUGAAACUCAAAGGAAUUGACGGGGGCCCGCACAAGCGGUGGAGUAUGUGGUUUAAUUCGAUGCAACGCGAAGAACCUUACCAGGGUUUGACAUCCUGCGAAUCUUUUGGAAACAGAAGAGUGCCUUCGGGAGCGCAGAGACAGGUGGUGCAUGGCUGUCGUCAGCUCGUGUCGUGAGAUGUUGGGUUAAGUCCCGCAACGAGCGCAACCCACGUCUUUAGUUGCCAGCAUUAAGUUGGGCACUCUAGAGAGACCGCCGGUGAUAAACCGGAGGAAGGUGUGGAUGACGUCAAGUCAUCAUGCCCCUUACAUCCUGGGCUACACACGUACUACAAUGCUACGGACAGAGGGCAGCAAACUCGCGAGAGCUAGCAAAUCCCAUAAACCGUGGCUCAGUUCAGAUCGUAGGCUGCAACUCGCCUACGUGAAGGAGGAAUCGCUAGUAAUCGCAGGUCAGCAUACUGCGGUGAAUACGUUCCCGGGCCUUGUACACACCGCCCGUCACACCAUGGAAGUUGGCCAUGCCCGAAGUCGUUACUCCAACCCUUGUGGAGGAGGACGCCGAAGGUGGGGCUGAUGACUGGGGUGAAGUCGUAACAAGGUA